UACGGAGGGUGCAAGCGUUAUCCGGAUUCACUGGGUUUAAAGGGUGCGUAGGCGGGCAGGUAAGUCCGUGGUGAAAUCUCUGAGCUUAACUCAGAAAACUGCCAUGGAUACUAUUUGUCUUGAAUAUUGUGGAGGUAAGCGGAAUAUGUCAUGUAGCGGUGAAUGCUUAGAUAUGACAUAGAACACCAAUUGCGAAGGCAGCUUACUACACAGUUAUUGACGCUGAGGCACGAAAGCGUGGGAUCAAACAGG
Molecule: ribosomal RNA, 252 nt
Filed under: uncultured bacterium
Lineage: Bacteria
Description: partial 16S ribosomal RNA
Rfam family: Bacterial small subunit ribosomal RNA
Source: RNAcentral